RNAcentral lists this ribosomal RNA (494 nucleotides) under uncultured bacterium. RNAcentral describes it as "partial 16S ribosomal RNA". It matches the Rfam family "Bacterial small subunit ribosomal RNA", at positions 28 to 507 of the family's 1533-position model. The record is from RNAcentral.
GACGAACGCUGGCGGCGCGCUUAACACAUGCAAGUCGAACGGAAAGGCCUGCUUUCCCUUGUGGAUUGCGGGUACUCGAGUGGCGAACGGGUGAGUAACACGUGAGUGAUCUGCCCCCAACUUGGGUAUAAGCCUGGGAAACUGGGUCUAAUUCCCGAUAGGACUGCAGGGUGGUGCCUGUGGUGGAAAACGAUUUUCUAGUGGUUGGGGAUGAGCUCGCGGCCUAUCAGCUUGUUGGUGGGGUAAUGGCCUACCAAGGCGGCGACGGGUAGCCGGCCUGAGAGGCUGGACGGCCACAUUGGGACUGAGAUACGGCCCAGACUCCUACGGGAGGCAGCAGUGGGGAAUAUUGCACAAUGGGCGGAAGCCUGAUGCAGCGACGCCGCGUGGGGGAUGACGGCCUUCGGGUUGUAAACUCCUUUCGACCGCGAGGAAGCCACCUGGUUGGAAGGGUGGUGACGGUAGUGGUAGAAGAAGCACCGGCUAACUACGUG